UUGUGGAGGAGGACGCCGAAGGUGGGGCUAAUGGCUGGGGUGAAGUCGUAACAAGGUAGCCGUACCGGAAGGUGCGGCUGGAUCACCUCCUAACAGGGAGACAACAAAAUGUAAAUAUUAAUUUUGUCACCUUAGGUCGAUCGGUAUCUCAGAUUCUUAUUUUUUAAGAAUUUCAGUUUCUAAGUUUUUUCUAGGUCACACCCAUCACUUUUUCCUGGGCCAUUAGCUCAGGUGGUUAGAGCGCACCCCUGAUAAGGGUGAGGUCCCUGGUUCAAGUCCAGGAUGGCCCAUAUCUCUAUGUUGGGGGUAUAGCUCAGUUGGUAGAGCGCCUGCUUUGCAAGCAGGAUGUCAGCGGUUCGAGUCCGCUUACCUCCACUGAAUACCACCUCUUACAUAUAUUUAAAGAGGGAAAUUGUUUUGAGUUGUGUCCUAUUUUGCUCUGAGCGAAUCUAGCUUCCUAUUUUAUUUAAUGAAUAAGAUGCUGGACUCAUUGAAUUUUUUUCACUGUUUUCAGAGAACCUUGACAACUGCAUAGAUUAUUUUUGAAGACAAUAAGCAUCUUUAAUGAUGCAGAUUUAUUAUUUGUGCUAAUGCAUUAAAUAACAAUUCUAUUAAGCUGAUGCUUCAAUUAUUGAAGUUAUUGGUCAGCUACAA
This 654-nucleotide unclassified non-coding RNA is filed under the name uncultured Prochlorococcus sp. RNAcentral describes it as "partial 16S-23S ribosomal RNA intergenic spacer; may also contain 16S ribosomal RNA and 23S ribosomal RNA". The stretch from base 303 to 375 matches the Rfam family "tRNA". Lineage: Bacteria; Bacillati; Cyanobacteriota; Cyanophyceae; Synechococcales; Prochlorococcaceae. The record is from RNAcentral.